This 253-nucleotide ribosomal RNA is filed under the name uncultured bacterium. RNAcentral's name for it is "partial 16S ribosomal RNA". It matches the Rfam family "Archaeal small subunit ribosomal RNA", at positions 474 to 727 of the family's 1478-position model. The record is from RNAcentral.
UACCAGCACCCCGAGUGGUCGGGACGAUUAUUGGGCCUAAAGCAUCCGUAGCCGGUCCUGCAAGUCUUCCGUUAAAUCCAGCUGCUCAACAGAUGGGCUGCGGGGGAUACUACAGGGCUAGGAGGCGGGAGAGGCAAGCGGUACUUUAUGGGUAGGGGUAAAAUCCGUUGAUCCAUAGAAGACCACCAGUGGCGAAGGCGGCUUGCCAGAACGCGCUCGACGGUGAGGGAUGAAAGCUGGGGGAGCAAAUCGG